AAAAUGGCUUUGCUCAAAGCCACGAAAUAUAUGUCAAAUAUUGCAU
Drosophila virilis is the source of this 46-nucleotide non-coding RNA. The record is from Rfam. Lineage: Eukaryota; Metazoa; Arthropoda; Insecta; Diptera; Drosophilidae.